GCCUCUGCAAGUCUCUGCACCUUGGCAGUCGUUUCUCUCCCUUGUAGAAGGAGGCUUGUGGACUAGGGUCACUGCGCUGAGUGUAGCUGUUGAGCCUCAGGGAACUGUGGUGAGGACUGGGAGGGGCCUGAGGAGCCCUUUUGCAUGUGUAAAAUGGAAGCUCUGGAAGGGGAAGGAACCUUCCCUAGGAUGAGCAGCAGAUCCAACAUAAUGCCCUCCAAGCAGCCUCUCCUUUAGAGGGAUGAAAGCCAUGGUUAAGAUGUCACUUCCCAUAAAUCAG
This is a long non-coding RNA of Neomonachus schauinslandi (Hawaiian monk seal), 280 nucleotides long. RefSeq lists it as uncharacterized. Lineage: Eukaryota; Metazoa; Chordata; Mammalia; Carnivora; Phocidae. The record is from RefSeq and is a predicted model, not a curated record. The transcript is spliced from 3 exons.